UACAGAGGUUCCAAGCGUUGUUCGGAUUCACUGGGCGUAAAGGGUGCGUAGGCGGUUGGGUAAGUCUGAUGUGAAAUCUCCGAGCUUAACUCGGAAAUGGCAUUGGAUACUAUUCGGCUAGAGGGUUUGAGGGGGGACUGGAAUACUUGGUGUAGCAGUGAAAUGCGUAGAUAUCAAGUGGAACACCAGUGGCGAAGGCGAGUCCCUGGAAAAAUACUGACACUGAGGCACGAAAGCUAGGGGAGCAAACAGG
This 253-nucleotide ribosomal RNA is filed under the name uncultured bacterium. Its description in RNAcentral is "partial 16S ribosomal RNA". It matches the Rfam family "Bacterial small subunit ribosomal RNA", at positions 524 to 776 of the family's 1533-position model. The record is from RNAcentral.